AUUGAACGCUGGCGGCAGGCCUAACACAUGCAAGUCGAACGAGUGGCGGACGGGUGAGUAAUGUCUGGGAAACUGCCCGCUGGAGGGGGAUAACUACUGGAAACGGUAGCUAAUACCGCAUACCAUCUGAUGCGCCCAGAUGGGAUUGGCUAGUAGGUGGGGUAACGGCUCACCUAGGCGACGAUCCCUAGCUGGUCUGAGAGGAUGACGAGCAACACGGGAGCUGGGACAAGGUCCAGAAUCCUACGGGAGGCAGCAGUGGGGAAUAUUGCACAGUGAGCGCAAGCCUGAUGCAGCCAAGCCGCGUGUAUGAAGAGCGCCUUCGGGUUGUAAAGUACUUUCAGCGAGGAGGCGUUACUCGCAGAAGAAGCACCGGCUAACUCCGUGCCAGCAGCCGCGGUAAUAC
RNAcentral lists this ribosomal RNA (406 nucleotides) under uncultured bacterium. Its description in RNAcentral is "partial 16S ribosomal RNA". It matches the Rfam family "Bacterial small subunit ribosomal RNA", at positions 30 to 526 of the family's 1533-position model. The record is from RNAcentral.